CAUAAUAGCGCGUUCGUCGGUGCCCGUUCAGGGCCGAAGAGGGAACACGGAAGAGCAUCGCUCCGACCGUGGCUGCCCCCGCAACUGUCAGCAGCGAGUCCGCGUCACAGGCCACUGGGCAACCGGGAAGGCGACGCCGGGCGACGACCUGCCAGCCAGGAGACCUGCCGGCGAGAGGAGUCGCGAG
RNAcentral lists this non-coding RNA (187 nucleotides) under Pseudomonas sp. OF001. Lineage: Bacteria; Pseudomonadati; Pseudomonadota; Gammaproteobacteria; Pseudomonadales; Pseudomonadaceae. The record is from RNAcentral.